GCUGGCGGCGUGCCUAAUACAUGCAAGUCGAGCGAACAGACGAGGAGCUUGCUCCUCUGACGUUAGCGGCGGACGGGUGAGUAACACGUGGAUAACCUACCUAUAAGACUGGGAUAACUUCGGGAAACCGGAGCUAAUACCGGAUAAUAUAUUGAACCGCAUGGUUCAAUAGUGAAAGACGGUUUUGCUGUCACUUAUAGAUGGAUCCGCGCCGCAUUAGCUAGUUGGUAAGGUAACGGCUUACCAAGGCAACGAUGCGUAGCCGACCUGAGAGGGUGAUCGGCCACACUGGAACUGAGACACGGUCCAGACUCCUACGGGAGGCAGCAGUAGGGAAUCUUCCGCAAUGGGCGAAAGCCUGACGGAGCAACGCCGCGUGAGUGAUGAAGGUCUUCGGAUCGUAAAACUCUGUUAUUAGGGAAGAACAAAUGUGUAAGUAACUAUGCACGUCUUGACGGUACCUAAUCAGAAAGCCACGGCUAACUACGUGCCAGCAGCCGCGGUAAUACGUAGGUGGCAAGCGUUAUCCGGAAUUAUUGGGCGUAAAGCGCGCGUAGGCGGUUUUUUAAGUCUGAUGUGAAAGCCCACGGCUCAACCGUGGAGGGUCAUUGGAAACUGGAAAACUUGAGUGCAGAAGAGGAAAGUGGAAUUCCAUGUGUAGCGGUGAAAUGCGCAGAGAUAUGGAGGAACACCAGUGGCGAAGGCGACUUUCUGGUCUGUAACUGACGCUGAUGUGCGAAAGCGUGGGGAUCAAACAGGAUUAGAUACCCUGGUAGUCCACGCCGUAAACGAUGAGUGCUAAGUGUUAGGGGGUUUCCGCCCCUUAGUGCUGCAGCUAACG
RNAcentral lists this ribosomal RNA (841 nucleotides) under Staphylococcus epidermidis. RNAcentral describes it as "bacterial SSU rRNA". It matches the Rfam family "Bacterial small subunit ribosomal RNA", at positions 35 to 857 of the family's 1533-position model. Lineage: Bacteria; Bacillati; Bacillota; Bacilli; Caryophanales; Staphylococcaceae. The record is from RNAcentral.